AUGGAACUGAAGGACAAGAGCAGAGCAGCAGACUUGAGCACCUGCACACAAACAGCCCCAAGAGCUGGCCCCAGGUGUAUCCUUCUGCCUAAGGAAUCAGAGUAGACCUUGGCACAUCUGAGGACCUUUAAUUGGAUUCGAAAAAUGACCAAUAUAUUUUUUUGUUGUUCCCAAGAAAGGUCUGAUUUUUUGCUUGGGAUCACCCCAUUUGUGUGUUUCUAAGUUAUUAACCUGGCUGUACCUGUGUGAUGAGUCCUGGGCUGGAAAUGCUGGUCCUCUUUGAGCAGUGAGGCUCCUCUCUGUAGGUGGUGUGAAUCAAGGUCAGGCCCUGGAGUGGGCAGACGGAUUUCUUUCUGUCCCUGUUGGUGCAGAGCAGGGCACUGAGAAUUUCACCUGAGCCGGGCAAGGCUCCUAGGCCACCUACACACCAGGAGAUCGCACAAGGAAAUUCCUUGUGUGUUUUCCAGCUACACCCUUUUCACAGUGAUGGAUGUCUUGGUGCAGCCCAGGUCUGGACAUUUAUAGCACUGCGUGAUCUCCAUGCUACUGGAGGAGCUGGUGAGGCUCCAUGACUGGAAAAGCAGGUGUUCCCAGGAGCCAUGCAGCCACCUGCGGGCCAGAACUUGGUGGUUUUUACAAGGGACGGUCUUCAGCAGCAGAAAGAAAAGGCUCAGAGAGGAAGUUUGUUAUCAAACUAGAGCUUGAGCUUGACCCUAAUCUCUGGAGUAGAAGGGGCCACCCAGCAAUGGGCAGAGGCUACAGGAAACCAAAAGAUGACGGCUCUGCCCUGAUGUGUUAG
RNAcentral lists this long non-coding RNA (799 nucleotides) under Corvus moneduloides (New Caledonian crow). RNAcentral describes it as "lncRNA (ENSCMUG00000004508.2)". Lineage: Eukaryota; Metazoa; Chordata; Aves; Passeriformes; Corvidae. The record is from RNAcentral.